This 440-nucleotide ribosomal RNA is filed under the name uncultured bacterium. RNAcentral's name for it is "partial 16S ribosomal RNA". It matches the Rfam family "Bacterial small subunit ribosomal RNA", at positions 338 to 795 of the family's 1533-position model. The record is from RNAcentral.
CCUACGGGAGGCAGCAGUAGGGAAUAUUGCUCAAUGGGGGAAACCCUGAAGCAGCAACGCCGCGUGGAGGAUGAAGGUUUUCGGAUUGUAAACUCCUUUUGUUAGAGAAGAUAAUGACGGUAUCUAACGAAUAAGCACCGGCUAACUCCGUGCCAGCAGCCGCGGUAAUACGGAGGGUGCAAGCGUUACUCGGAAUCACUGGGCGGAAAGAGCGCGUAGGCGGGAUAGCAAGUCAGAUGUGAAAUCCUAUGGCUUAACCAUAGAACUGCAUUUGAAACUGUUAUUCUAGAGUAUGGGAGAGGUAGGUGGAAUUCUUGGUGUAGGGGUAAGAACCGUAGAGAUCAAGAGGAAUACUCAGUGCGAAGGCGACCUGCUAGAACAUAACUGACGCUGAUGCGCGAAAGCGUGGGGAGCAAACAGGAUUAGAUACCCGAGUAGUC